This 448-nucleotide ribosomal RNA is filed under the name uncultured bacterium. RNAcentral describes it as "SSU rRNA". It matches the Rfam family "Bacterial small subunit ribosomal RNA", at positions 26 to 518 of the family's 1533-position model. The record is from RNAcentral.
AGAGCGAACGCUGGCGGCAGGCCUAACACAUGCAAGUCGAGCGCCCGUAGCAAUACGGGAGCGGCAGACGGGAUAGUAACACGUGGGAACGCGCCCUUCGGUUCGGAAUAACUCAGGGAAACUUGAGCUAAUACCGGAUACGCCCUUACGGGGAAAGAUUUAUUGCCGAAGGAACGGCCCGCGUCCGAUUAGCUAGUCGGUGAGGUAAUGGCUCACCAAGGCGACGAUCGGUAGCUGGUCUGAGAGGAUGACCAGCAUCACUGGGACUGAGACACGGCCCAGACUCCUACGGGAGGCAGCAGUGGGGAAUAUUGGACAAUGGGCGCAAGCCUGAUCCAGCCAUGCCGCGUGGAUGAUGAAGGCCUUAGGGUUGUAAAGUCCUUUUAACGGGGAAGAUAAUGACGGUACCCGUAGAAUAAGCCCCGGCUAACUUCGUGCCAGCAGCCGC